RNAcentral lists this unclassified non-coding RNA (249 nucleotides) under Hevea brasiliensis (rubber tree). The record is from RNAcentral. Lineage: Eukaryota; Viridiplantae; Streptophyta; Magnoliopsida; Malpighiales; Euphorbiaceae.
GUCACCUCUAAGGGUGAAUUGACUGAAUUGCCCUUUACCGAUCUGAUCCGGUUUACCAAUAGCAUUGUAUUGUUUCAUGAACCCUAAUCUAAUUAUUUAACCUUGUUCUCAAUUCUUUUCUGUGGUCUCUCAUUUCCACUAGCUUUGCAAUAAUUUCUAGGCCUGCAGUGUCACAAUUUCUCAUACAAAAUUAGGGUUUUGGCUGAUCUUGCAAUCACUUACCGGUACGGUCACCCAUCGCUGUGACCU